Molecule: small RNA, 28 nt
Filed under: Bombyx mori (domestic silkworm)
Lineage: Eukaryota; Metazoa; Arthropoda; Insecta; Lepidoptera; Bombycidae
Description: ovarian small RNA-14606
Source: RNAcentral
CUAAGCGUGACUUGAUACCUCGCAUAGC